Molecule: long non-coding RNA, 1153 nt
Filed under: Papio anubis (olive baboon)
Lineage: Eukaryota; Metazoa; Chordata; Mammalia; Primates; Cercopithecidae
Description: lncRNA (ENSPANG00000042339.1)
Source: RNAcentral
GCCUGUCUAUAAAAUGUGGUGCACUCCUCUGUGGGCUGGAAUUCCCAUUCAGUCGCUCCUCUCUCUCACGGUAGAGAGAGCUAUUCUUUUUUCUUUUUCUUUUGCCUAUUAAACCUCUGCUCUUAACCUCACUCCACAUGUGUCUGAGUCCUUGAUUUCCUUGGCAUGAGGCAAUGAACCUCCUGUAUUUACCCCAAGCAGUGACACUGCUUCAAUAAUAUGUUGUAUAGUUUCAAAUAGCUAGAAGGAGGAUACUGAAUGUUCCCAACACAAAGAUAUGACACGUUUGGAAUUAUGAGUAUGCUAAUUACCCUAAUCUGAUCACCAUAUGAUUGAAACAUCACUAUAUACCCUAUGAAUAUGUACAAUUAUUACGUGUCAAUUAAAAAAUUCAGAAUAGAAAAAAAUUAAGUUCUUUCCAUAAUUAAAAAAUAUAUAUAUAUAUAUAUGAAGAAGGAAAAGUAGUAGUCAUAAAUAGCUCAAAUUACAAGUUAAAUACCCAGAACAAAUAGAUUGCAAAACACCUACAGGCUUUCUCCUGUGCUCUGACAUUCUGAUUAGCAGGAAAGUGAUUAGCUGAAUGUCAAACAGGAUUAAGUUUAGUCUGAACUGGUAAUCAAGAGUUUUUUUAGAUUGUGCUUCAUCUUUCAUGUGGAUGAAAAUGCUCGGUUUCUCAGAUCCCUCUCCUUCCCCUGCUUCUCUCCUUCUGUUCAAGUGCAUAAGGAUUGAAGGAGAAUGCAGGCUUCUGGCUUGGGGAAUGAGAACAUAUUGAUGCUCUGAAAGACAACCCCAGAAGAGUAUGAGGAGACAUACACAGUCUACGCAGGCCUGUAAGGUAACUUUUAGAAAUUGUACUGGUUCAGUGCUUAUGGGAAGCCAGAAAUCGUAAUCAGUGCAUAGCAGAAAGAACAAUCAGCUGGUAAUAGGGAGUCACUAAACAGAUAAAGACAGCAUUGCUAAGGACAGCCUUGUGACAAUAAUAACAGGAUCAGGCCCAGUAAUUAGGCAGUUUGUGGCAGUUGAUCGGAAAAGACGAAGAAUUAUCUGUGGUUAACCUACAUAUGCGGGCACUUAGGUUGCUGAAGAAUCACAGAUGGCACAAAAAAAGUGUGGAUGAGAUGGGUCCCAAAUUAUGUGCACUGAAAAUACAAGC